This 269-nucleotide ribosomal RNA is filed under the name uncultured Sphingobacteriales bacterium. Its description in RNAcentral is "partial 16S ribosomal RNA". It matches the Rfam family "Bacterial small subunit ribosomal RNA", at positions 1111 to 1382 of the family's 1533-position model. Lineage: Bacteria; Pseudomonadati; Bacteroidota; Sphingobacteriia; Sphingobacteriales. The record is from RNAcentral.
UUUGUCCAACGGUAAGGCCGGGCACUCUGGAUGGACUGCCGGCGACAAGCCGGAGGAAGGUGGGAUGACGUCAAGUCAUCAUGGCCCUUAUGUCCAGGGCGACACACGUGCUACAAUGGCCGGCACAGCGGGAAGCGAGGGGGCGACCUUGAGCGGAUCCCUCAAAGCCGGUCUCAGUUCGGAUCGGAGUCUGCAACCCGACUCCGUGAAGCUGGAUUCGCUAGUAAUCGCGCAUCAGCCAUGGCGCGGUGAAUACGUUCCCGGGCCUU